This 206-nucleotide ribosomal RNA is filed under the name uncultured bacterium. RNAcentral's name for it is "partial 16S ribosomal RNA". It matches the Rfam family "Bacterial small subunit ribosomal RNA", at positions 568 to 774 of the family's 1533-position model. The record is from RNAcentral.
CACGUAGGCGGACUCUUAAGUCGGUGGUGAAAUCCUGGAGCUCAACUCCAGAACUGCCUUCGAUACUGAGAGUCUCGAGUCCGAGAGAGGUGAGUGGAACUGCGAGUGUAGAGGUGAAAUUCGUAGAUAUUCGCAAGAACACCAGUGGCGAAGGCGGCUCACUGGCUCGGUACUGACGCUGAGGUGCGAAAGCGUGGGAGCAAACA